Molecule: ribosomal RNA, 409 nt
Filed under: uncultured bacterium
Lineage: Bacteria
Description: bacterial SSU rRNA
Rfam family: Bacterial small subunit ribosomal RNA
Source: RNAcentral
AUUGGUCAAUGGAGGGAACUCUGAUCCAGCCAUGCCGCGUGCAGGAAGAAUGUCCUAUGGACUGUAAACUGCUUUUGUACGGAAAGAACCGGGGGCACGUGUGCCCCCCUGACGGUACCGUAAGAAUAAGGAUCGGCUAACUCCGUGCCAGCAGCCGCGGUAAUACGGAGGAUCCGAGCGUUAUCCGGAAUCAUUGGGUUUAAAGGGUCCGUAGGCGGGCCGUUAAGUCAGGGGUGAAAGUCUGCGGCUCAACCGUAGAAUUGCCCUUGAUACUGAUGGCCUUGAGUUAUGGUGAAGCAGCCAGAAUAUGUGGUGUAGCGGUGAAAUGCAUAGAUAUCACAUGGAAUACCGAUUGCGAAGGCAGGCUGCUAACCAUAUACUGACGCUGAUGGACGAAAGCGUGGGUAGC